GACAGAGGGUGCAAACGUUGCUCGGAAUCACUGGGCGUAAAGGGCGUGUAGGCGGAUUUGUAAGUCAGGGGUGAAAUCCCGGGGCUCAACCUCGGAACUGCCUUUGAUACUGCGAAUCUUGAGUCCGAUAGAGGUGGGUGGAAUUCCUAGUGUAGAGGUGAAAUUCGUAGAUAUUAGGAAGAACACCGGUGGCGAAGGCGGCCCACUGGAUCGGUACUGACGCUGAGGUGCGAAAGCGUGGGGAGCAAACAGG
RNAcentral lists this ribosomal RNA (253 nucleotides) under uncultured bacterium. RNAcentral describes it as "partial 16S ribosomal RNA". It matches the Rfam family "Bacterial small subunit ribosomal RNA", at positions 524 to 776 of the family's 1533-position model. The record is from RNAcentral.